RNAcentral lists this ribosomal RNA (253 nucleotides) under uncultured bacterium. Its description in RNAcentral is "partial 16S ribosomal RNA". It matches the Rfam family "Bacterial small subunit ribosomal RNA", at positions 524 to 776 of the family's 1533-position model. The record is from RNAcentral.
UACGGGGGGGGCAAGCGUUGUUCGGAAUUACUGGGCGUAAAGGGCGUGUAGGCGGCCAACUAAGUCCGACGUGAAAUCCCCAGGCUCAACCUGGGAACUGCGUCGGAUAUUGGAUGGCUUGAAUCCGGGAGAGGGAUGCAGAAUUCCAGGUGUAGCGGUGAAAUGCGUAGAUAUCUGGAGGAAUACCGGUGGCGAAGGCGGCAUCCUGGACCGGCAUUGACGCUGAAGCGCGAAAGCUAGGGGAGCAAACGGG